UUACGGUCAAAUCACGCUGAAAACACCGGUUCUUCGUUUUAGAUCACCGAAGUUAAGCAUCGUAGAGCCAGGUCUCGUUCGUACUUAGAUGGGGGACCGCUUGGGGACCGCUU
Non-coding RNA from Acanthosepion pharaonis, 113 nucleotides. NCBI's taxonomy places the organism in Eukaryota, Metazoa, Mollusca, Cephalopoda, Sepiida, Sepiidae. The record is from the annotation of a GenBank genome assembly.